Molecule: ribosomal RNA, 460 nt
Filed under: uncultured bacterium
Lineage: Bacteria
Description: partial 16S ribosomal RNA
Rfam family: Bacterial small subunit ribosomal RNA
Source: RNAcentral
CUACGGGAUGCUGCAGUGACGAAUAUUGGUCAAUGGACGCAAGUCUGAACCAGCCAUGCCGCGUGCAGGAUGACGGCCCUAUGGGUUGUAAACUGCUUUUAUUUAGGAAUAACUCCCCGGUCGUGCAUCGGGGCUGAACGUACUAAAAGAAUAAGCAUCUGCUAACUCCGUGCCAGCAGCCGCGGUAAUACGGAGGAUGCAAGCGUUAUCCGGAUUUAUUGGGUUUAAAGGGUUCGCAGGCGGCAUAUUAAGUCAGUGGUGAAAGCCCUCGGCUCAACCGAGGAACUGCCAUUGAUACUGGUAUGCUAGAGUAUAGUUGGCGUAGGCGGAAUAUUUCAUGUAGCGGUGAAAUGCUUAGAUAUGAAAUAGAACACCGAUCGCGAAGGCAGCUUACGAAACUAUAACUGACGCUCAGGAACGAAAGCGUGGGGAGCGAACAGGAUUAGAUACCCCGGUAGUC